CACAAAAAGAAACCCAAAAAAACACAAUUUUAAGAACACAAAGAAAACCAGAAACUGGGUUUGUCUUAAAACAUAAAACAAAACAAAAAAAACGAAAGUAUUGCAUGUAUCAUUCAUAUUUCAUACAUACCCAAGUUAUGUUUUUUUGUUUUUUUGUUUCUUUAAAUCUCGAACAGAACAAAUAAAGAAGCUUUCAUUAGAAUAAAAAACUCAGAAUCAAAUAGCUUUUGUGUAGGGAGUAAUUGUGUUAGCUUGCAUUGAUGCUAUGGGAAGACCCCAUUAUAUAGUGUUUACAAUAGUGAAGCCAAGCCAACCUUUACUUAAGGCGCAAGUAACAAGCUUGCCAAGGCCAGGCCCAACCAGUCAAGCCCAUAGGCGUGCGCGUGAGCUUACAUACUCCUAACAUAUGCUCCCCUAAUCUGAGAAGACCCUAGUUUGGUUGUUGCAAAAGCUGUUACUUGCUUUACAAGUAAAACAGAAUUAGUUAGUGUGUAGGUUAGUUAGUUGAGUUAACAUGAGAUAGGAACAAAUCAAGGAAAAGUUGAUUUUGUUUUGGAUAAACACGUGUAUUGUUUGUUGGUGAUUCCUUUAUUAACGAAGCUUUUGCAUGAAGAUUCCUUUAUUAAGGUAACAAAUAAAGAAGCUUUUGCAUGAAGCUUUUACACGUGUAUGAGAUAGGAACAAAUAAAGAAGCUUUCAUUAGAAUAAAAAACUCAGAAUCAAAAAGCUUUUGCAUGAAGAUUCCUUUAUUAAAGUUUCAAGGAAAACCCUUUUAAGAGAAUGGUUUUUUUUUUUCUCCUUUCUUUUCCACAGCAUGUGGUACAAAUGGCAGAACAAGAAGAAGAAAUGGUCCAAAAUUGGUUUGUAGAAAUGAAGNN
This 878-nucleotide long non-coding RNA is filed under the name Trifolium pratense (red clover). RNAcentral's name for it is "long non-coding RNA (TPRA_LNC001466)". The record is from RNAcentral. Lineage: Eukaryota; Viridiplantae; Streptophyta; Magnoliopsida; Fabales; Fabaceae.